CCUACGGGCGGCUGCAGUGGGGAAUAUUGCACAAUGGGCGCAAGCCUGAUGCAGCCAUGCCGCGUGUGUGAAGAAGGCCUUCGGGUUGUAAAGCACUUUCAGCGGGGAGGAAGGCGUUAAGGUUAAUAACCUUGGCGAUUGACGUCACCCGCAGAAGAAGCACCGACUAACUCCGUGCCAGCAGCCGCGGUAAUACGGAGGGUGCAAGCGUUAAUCGGAAUUACUGGGCGUAAAGCGCACGCAGGCGGUCUGUCAAGUCGGAUGUGAAAUCCCCGGGCUCAACCUGGGAACUGCAUUCGAAACUGGCAGGCUAGAGUCUUGUAGAGGGGGGUAGAAUUCCAGGUGUAGCGGUGAAAUGCGUAGAGAUCUGGAGGAAUACCGGUGGCGAAGGCGGCCCCCUGGACAAAGACUGACGCUCAGGUGCGAAAGCGUGGGGAGCAAACAGGAUUAGAUACCCGGGUAGUC
RNAcentral lists this ribosomal RNA (465 nucleotides) under uncultured Klebsiella sp. RNAcentral describes it as "bacterial SSU rRNA". It matches the Rfam family "Bacterial small subunit ribosomal RNA", at positions 338 to 795 of the family's 1533-position model. Lineage: Bacteria; Pseudomonadati; Pseudomonadota; Gammaproteobacteria; Enterobacterales; Enterobacteriaceae. The record is from RNAcentral.